UACGUAGGCAGCAAGCGUUGUUCGGAGUUACUGGGCGUAAAGGGUGUGUAGGCGGUUCCUUAAGUUUGCUGUGAAAUCUCCCGGCUUAACCGGGAGGGUGCGGUGAAUACUGAGGGACUAGAGUACGGGAGAGGAAAGUGGAAUUCCUGGUGUAGCGGUGAAAUGCGCAGAUAUCAGGAAGAACACCCGUGGCGAAGGCGGCUCUCUGGGACGGUACUGACGCUGAGACGCGAAAGCGUGGGGAGCGAACAGG
This 253-nucleotide ribosomal RNA is filed under the name uncultured bacterium. Its description in RNAcentral is "partial 16S ribosomal RNA". It matches the Rfam family "Bacterial small subunit ribosomal RNA", at positions 524 to 776 of the family's 1533-position model. The record is from RNAcentral.